GGAAAGUUUCAAUGAUCAUUAGAAAUACAGGUGAUGGACAUUCAAGAAACAUUGUUCUCUUUUAAAACACAAUAUUCUGUUUUGGUUUUGUUUUGUUUUGUUUUUUAAAGAUCCCUGUCUUUUUGUACAUUCCUUAAUAUCUAGUAUUUGUUCCAACACAAUGUUGGUAGCCAAAAGCCACCGACCUGAGGUUGGCAACUCUUAGAGAACACAGCUUUCUUCUACAGAACAGUAAGUUGCUACAGUUCAGCCAAAUUCUAUCUGUCUAAUAAAAGGCACAGAUCUCCCUCUGAGCCGCGCCCCGGCUUGGGCAGGUAACUCACCAGUUCAGCUCCCUCUCCACCGCGCUCUCUGGAAACUGAAAGUGGCCACUGAGCGGGCGCUGUUCGCUAGUUCAUAGAAUCUACUGCUGCUGCCGAGAAAUCACGUGGAUUCAAAGUGCCAGCCCCAGGGCGCGCGGGUAGCGUGCCCGGAACCCGCCGCGGCUUGGAGAUCGCAGCGGGACGUGCCUCUCUGACUACUAUUGAGACUGGAGGCGCUGUAGGAUGAAGGCAGGAGGAGCCGCUGAGCAAAACUUCGUGGAGUUGGGUCCAGAAUCCUUUGGCGACAGCGGCUCAUCACCUGAGACCUGACCUGGACAAGCAUGGUCUCCAGGUGUGUCUCUGCUGGUCUCCGGGUGCAAGGGUUGCCUAGGCUACAGAAGAAAGCUUAGUGCAGAGAUGAGGGAUGGAGAGAGGUGAGCGAUUAGAAAAGGACUACAGGGCCAUAGUCAGCCCUGGAAAGUUCCUGUCUCUGUUCCAAGUUCUACAACAUGCCCUGCCUCUUGUCUUUGUCCCAGAACAGGAGGCCAGGCUCCUCCUGAAGAUGGUUUCUGUGACAUCCCACAGUGAAGCAAUGCUCUGGGGGAGGAAUGGGGAGACAGUGCAUUAGCACUGUAGGGCAGGGUCAGCAGCACACCCAUGACCCCCAAACCUCAGGUUCAAGUCCUCCUCUUAAGUGCUGGCUACAUCACCUUAGGCCAGUGGUUCUCAGCCUUCCUAAUGCUGGGACCCUUUAAUACUGCAGCCUCCUGCUGUGCUGACCCCCAACCAUAACAUUAUUCUCGUUGCUACUUCAUAGCUGUAAUUUUGCUACUGUUACGAAUCAUAAUGAAAUCAUUUGACUUGGCAGAGGUUGUGUCCCCCAGAUUGAGAAACACCCCCCAAGACAAAAGUCUUGGCUCUGAGUUUUGGUUCUGUCAUCUGUCCUGAGAACCAGAGAAGUUGUACCUUCCAGUCCUUCAGAAGAAGUUAGAGCAGAUGUGGUGUGUGCCCAGAACUCUUAAGAAAUCCUUCUACGUUAGUCCCCUUCUUUGGAUCUCAAAUUCCUGUGACCCUCUAACCUCCUCCCUCCCAGGACCGAGCCGGAAAUCUAGAAAGUUCUUGACAGGCAAGAGUGUGUGUGUGUGGGGGGUCAUUAUUAUUUUGCACUGAUUAUUUGUGUGUGACUCUUAGCUUUUCCAACCUUCCCUGGCUCCCCUCUUACAAAUAAAUGCCUUGUUUUU
Molecule: long non-coding RNA, 1543 nt
Filed under: Mus caroli (Ryukyu mouse)
Lineage: Eukaryota; Metazoa; Chordata; Mammalia; Rodentia; Muridae
Description: lncRNA (MGP_CAROLIEiJ_G0006711.1)
Source: RNAcentral